AUGAAUCCAUCAUCCAUGGAGAGGUGCUGCCUGCUGCUCCUCUUCGUGGCGUUCCUCUGGCCGGCGGCCAGCGCGACGCCGUGCCACCCUGACGACCUCCGCGCGCUGCGGGGCUUCGCCGGGGAGCUCGGCGGCGGGGGAGCCCUCCGCACCGCAUGGUCCGGCGCAUCGUGCUGCGCCUGGGAAGGUGUGGGCUGCGACAGCGCCAGCGGCCGCGUCACGGUGCUGCGGCUCCCCUGGCGCGGCCUCGCGGGGCACAUCCCAGGAGCCUCCCUGGCGGGCCUCGUGUGGCUGGAGGAGCUCUUCCUCGGCUCGAACCAUUUCGAGGGCGUCAUCCCAGACGAGCUCUUCGGCCUCGUCAGGUUAAGGAAGCUCUCCCUCGCAUCCAACGAGCUCACCGGCGAGCUGAGCCCACGCCUCGGUGAGCUCACACACCUUACCUUGUUGGAUUUGUCCGCCAACCGCUUCUUCGGCCCCUUGCCGGACGUGUUCCGUGACCUCACGUCGCUAGAGCAUUUGGCCAUGCAUUCCAAUGGCUUCUCCGGCUUCUUGCCACCGUCUCUUUCAUCACUAUCUUCUCUCCAUGAGCUCAACCUCAGAAACAACUCCAUGUCCGGUCCGAUUGCUCGUGUUAGCUUCUCCGACAUGCCACUUCUUGCGUCGCUUGACUUUUCCACAAACUCCCUGACUGGGUGGCUCCCGGCUAGCCUCGCGAGCUGUGGUGAGCUCAAGUCGCUCAACCUUGCCAACAACAUAUUGGUCGGCACCAUCCCGUCGUGGAUUGGUGAGUUUGACAACCUUUGGUACUUGAAUCUCUCAAAUAAUUCAUUUGUUGGUGAGGUACCCAAGAGUUUGUUACGGCUCAAUGGCCUCGCCACCGCGGGUCGCUCAUCGGGUAUGGUUUUCAUUAACAUGCCCUCUUUCGUAAAUCACGAAAGAAGAGCACUCGAUGAACAACCAAAUACCAUAACUGGGACCAACAACACUGUCAGAUCUGGGCGCAACAACACCAUGUCUGGGAACGACAACAUUGUCAUGUCCGGAGACAGCAACACUGUGUCCGGGAGCUUCAACACCCUCGUAUGUGGAAACAACAAUAUUCUAAGUGGUGACCACCAUGUUGUAUCUGGGAGCAACCAUAUUGUAACUAACAGUUUCAAUAAAGUGACUGGGUGCACCAAUAACGUAUCUGGGAGCAACCAUACUGUAUCCGGGAGCAACAAUACCGUAACUGGGAGCAGCAAUACGGUAUCUGGGAACAACCAUGUCGUGUCUGGGAGCAACAGAGUCGUAACCGGAGAUUAA
RNAcentral lists this ribosomal RNA (1305 nucleotides) under Triticum aestivum (bread wheat). Its description in RNAcentral is "partial small subunit ribosomal RNA". The record is from RNAcentral. Lineage: Eukaryota; Viridiplantae; Streptophyta; Magnoliopsida; Poales; Poaceae.